AGCUAAUAGAUACCCAGGUAGUCCCAGCAGUAAACGGUGCGCGUUUGGUGUGAGCAGAUUCGACUCUGUUCGCGCCGGAGCUAACGCGUUAAACGCGCCGCCUGGGAAGUACGAUCGCAAGAUUAAAACUCAAAGAAAUUGACGGGGGCCCGCACAAGCGGUGGAGUAUGUGGCUUAAUUCGAUGCAACGCGAAGAACCUUACCUGGGUUUGACAUGCAUCUCUAAGGAGGUGAAAGCUUCCGAGGGUAGCAAUACCCGAUUUGCACAGGUGCUGCAUGGCUGUCGUCAGCUCGUGUCGUGAGAUGUUGGGUUAAGUCCCGCAACGAGCGCAACCCUUGUAUGCUGUUGCUAUGCUUACGCAUAGCUCUCUGCGUAGACUGCCCCGUGAAACGGGGAGGAAGGUGGGGAUGACGUCAAGUCAGCAUGGCCCUUACACCCAGGGCUGCACACGUACUACAAUGCUCAGUACAAUUAGAACCUGCCCCGCGAGGG
RNAcentral lists this ribosomal RNA (493 nucleotides) under uncultured bacterium. Its description in RNAcentral is "bacterial SSU rRNA". It matches the Rfam family "Bacterial small subunit ribosomal RNA", at positions 767 to 1263 of the family's 1533-position model. The record is from RNAcentral.